GGGUCAGUAGGUUGGUCGUGCCACCGGUACGUACUGGUCUCACUGAUUCCUCCUUCCUGAAGAACCGUAAUGCCAUUAAUUUGGUGUUGCGGGGAAACAGGACUGUCACUUUGAAAAAAUUAGAGUGUUUAAAGCAAGCUAACGCUUGGAUACAUUAGCAUGGAAUAAUGAAAUAGGACGAUCGAUCCUAUUUUGUUGGUUUCUAGGAUUGACGUA
RNAcentral lists this ribosomal RNA (216 nucleotides) under Glomeromycotina sp. Its description in RNAcentral is "partial small subunit ribosomal RNA". The stretch from base 40 to 216 matches the Rfam family "Eukaryotic small subunit ribosomal RNA", at positions 686 to 864 of the family's 1831-position model. The record is from RNAcentral. Lineage: Eukaryota; Fungi; Glomeromycota.